CUUGAUUUAACAUAAUACCAAGGAAAAAGGCAUUGAAAAGGGUAGGAAAGACAAGUCUUGCAUUGCCUACACCAGUCCUCUCCCAUCUACCCUGGCAGUGUCCUGAAGAGAGACAAUCUGUGUGCUUGGGGGAGAGAGCCACAUGAGUGAGGAAUUUUGCAUUGGAACUCGGUACUUCUGUGUCACAGUGAAGCACAACACGGCAGAAUUCUGCUGGUGCCACAGAGGGAGCAUGUAGACCAGCCCUGGGCUAGAGGGGAAUGCCCUGCCCCAGUGGGAGAAAACCAAGUCCCUGCCAGUUUCAUCACUGACUGACUAAAGUGGCCUGGGGCCCAGAAUAAAUCUGAGAGGCAGUCAGGCCAUAGGAUUACAGUUAUUGGGCAAGCCCUGGUCCCAGCUGCACUGGUCUCAGGGGCAAUGGACUUGGGUUGUGCAUGACCCAUUGUAACACCAGCCGUGGCAACCAAGGAGUGUCUAUCUCAUCCCUCCCCCUACUCCAUCCAGUACAGCUCAGGAGGAGACUCUUCACUUGGAGAAUGGACAGGGAAGAGUACAAAAACAUUGUCGUGCAACUUGGUUUCCAGCUCAGCUACAGUAAAAUAAAGCACUAGGCAGAUUUCUGAAGGCCCUAAUUCCAGGUCUGAGCUCCUGAAUGACAUUUUUAGACCCACACUGGGACAGAAGGGAAUCUGCUAUCCUGAAGGGAAGGAUCCAUUUCUGGCUGGAUUCACCAUCUACUGACAAAAGAGCCCCUGGUCGUGGAAUAAACAUCGGCAGUAGCCAGGCCCCGCUGUGUAAUUACGUCUGGAAUUGGUGGGUUCUUGGUCUCACCGACUUCAAGAAUGAAGCCGUGGAUCCUCGUGCUGACAGAAUCAAGUUUUAAAGAUCCAGUUAAAUGCCUGGCUAUCAACUUGCCAAGAGCUGAUCCAGAUGGAAGCCAUCAUCCUAAGAGUCAGACAACUCAUUAACUCUAAAGGGACUG
RNAcentral lists this long non-coding RNA (982 nucleotides) under Homo sapiens (human). Its description in RNAcentral is "HSALNT0322365". The record is from RNAcentral. Lineage: Eukaryota; Metazoa; Chordata; Mammalia; Primates; Hominidae.